GUGUCAGCAGCCGCGGUAAUACGUAGGGUGCGAGCGUUAAUCGGAAUUACUGGGCGUAAAGCGUGCGCAGGCGGUUCGCUAAGUCUGAUGUGAAAGCCCCGGGCUCAACCUGGGAACUGCAUUGGAAACUGGCGAGCUUGAGUGUGGCAGAGGGGGGUGGAAUUCCACGUGUAGCAGUGAAAUGCGUAGAGAUGUGGAGGAACACCGAUGGCGAAGGCAGCCCCCUGGGCUAACACUGACGCUCAGGCACGAAAGCGUGGGGAGCAAACAGGAUUAGAAACCCCCGUAGUCC
This 292-nucleotide ribosomal RNA is filed under the name uncultured bacterium. RNAcentral's name for it is "partial 16S ribosomal RNA". It matches the Rfam family "Bacterial small subunit ribosomal RNA", at positions 505 to 796 of the family's 1533-position model. The record is from RNAcentral.